Molecule: ribosomal RNA, 253 nt
Filed under: uncultured bacterium
Lineage: Bacteria
Description: partial 16S ribosomal RNA
Rfam family: Bacterial small subunit ribosomal RNA
Source: RNAcentral
UACAGGGGGGGCAAGCGUUGUUCGGAAUUACUGGGCGUAAAGGGCUCGUAGGUGGCCAACUAAGUCAGACGUGAAAUCCCUCAGCUUAACUGGGGAACUGCGUCUGAUACUGGAUGGCUUGAGUUUGGGAGAGGGAUGCGGAAUUCCAGGUGUAGCGGUGAAAUGCGUAGAUAUCUGGAGGAACACCGGUGGCGAAGGCGGCAUCCUGGACCAAUACUGACACUGAGGAGCGAAAGCUAGGGGAGCAAACGGG